This is a long non-coding RNA of Equus caballus (horse), 1877 nucleotides long. NCBI's taxonomy places the organism in Eukaryota, Metazoa, Chordata, Mammalia, Perissodactyla, Equidae. The record is from Ensembl.
AGGAGGGCAGGGGCUAAGGAGAGAGGGAAGAGAAGAUCCAAAUCUAAUUGCAUUGGCCUUCAGCCUCACUAGGGCUCCAUGCUCCCAGAGGUGGUGAUACACUUGUAUUCAGCAGCCGUCACUGAUCUUGCUUGUAAAAGUCCUAUUUCGACAUGGGCGUGCUUUCCUGAGGUUUGAGUCUCUGGAAUUACCCUAAUUUUCCUCUGGAUUUUGCAGUUAUGGAGAUCUGAGAACACCCCACUGGCUGGAAUGAUGCCUCCCAUGCAAAGGAGUGUUAACUAAUUUAGUUUUCCCAGUUGGAAUACCACAACCUAAACAUAUGGAUUUAUCUUGAAACCAGGAAGCCUGACAUACACUGCUGCCAAAACAAAGGAGAAAAUGCAACGUUUUGUCCUGUAAUGAGACAGCAAAGAAGCGCGGGUCCAGAAGGUAUCCAUCCUGAUCAUUUCAAGGUGGCAGGGCCUGGGCCCAGGGGAGCAGGCAGCUCCCUGCAAGUUCUCCUGAAUAUUCCGUUCUGUAUUUCUCCGUAUCUCCUUCGACAGCAUCUCUACUGCAUCUCUUAAUGGACCAAAUGUUUGUGUCCCCCAAAAUGUCUAUGUUGAAGCCCUAACCUCGACGUGACUGUAUUUGGAGAAGAGAUCGCACGAGCACACAGCGAGAUGGCGGCCACCUGUAGGCCAAGAAACGAGGCCUUAGAGUGAAACCUACUUUGCUGGCACCUUGAUCUUGGACUUUACAGCCUCCAGAACUGUGAAAAAGUAAAUCUCUGCUCUUCAGCCAUCCUGUCAAUGGCAUCUUGUUAUGGCAGCCCAAGCAGACCCAGACAAUCUCCUAGCAAUGCUUUCCUAGGAACACUGUGACAAUUGCUGGUGUCCCUCAACCCCUCCUCAGGGUCCCAGCAUGUGUGUAUGACUGGGCAGAUCUCGGCGGGCACCUCUAAGGGGCCUGGCCCACCACAGCUUAGGAAUGCACAUCAAUAGCAGGUUAAACAAUGGUGGCGCUUCUGUGCAAUGGGACACCGUGGUGGCGUAAAAGGAGAGAAGCAGCUUUACGUGGACUGAUGUGGAAAGGUGCCCACUAUUGAGCCAAGUUGAAAAAAAGAAGGCAAAGUGAAAGCAGCAUUAUGUAUGUUCUUAUUUCAAUUUAUAUAUGCUAUAAAGAUCUAUAAUAGCCUGCACUGAAAAAAUAUCUGGACAAAUAGAAACCAAGCAGUGUUUAUCUCUGGGGUUAUAGGGACUUUUACUGUUUUAUGGCAUACACUUCGUAAUUUUUAUUAUGGCCAUGUGUUACUUUUAUUAUCAGAGAUAACAAUAAUGAUUUUUACAAUAAGAAAAAAACUAUUGAUCAGAAAAAAGUGCCACACACUCAUUCUUAAAAACAACUGACAUGAGAACUUGUGAUGUUACUCUGAAAAAUUGGGGUGUUUCUCUGAACAGAUUUGCACACCAGGGACUAAAUUUUGGGAAGAGAAAGUUCUUUACUGUAUAUUCUAACUUGUCAUGCAAUGACACUGUGCAUCAUUAAAACGCAUUUUUUCCUUUCAAAAAUUAAGCAGUAGCCUAAUAGCUUAUUUCCUAAGAUUUUAACUAGAAAAGCCCACAAGUUGUUUUAAGAUGCUGACAUGAACACCAUUUAGAAAGUGACAAGCCUCUCUAUAUGAUACAUUAAUGAGAAGAAGGAGGAGGGGUGUGAGAGGAGAAGGAAGAGCAUUUGGAAGCUCUAUUCAGGAAGUGGUAUUCCGUUUCACCUCCAUUGUUAGAAACGCACUCUGCAAGCCUUAAACUAGAAGGCAGUGCUUGGAAGUUCUUUUAUACUCUUCUUCUCUACAGGCACACCUCGGAUAUAUUGCAGGUUCAGUUCCAGACCACCGCAAUAAA